GAAGUUUCUUUGCAUUCUCUCCUGAGCAUGAAGCCGGCUCGUGGUUUUGCUUUCCUGCAAUUGCCACUUGCUGUUGGUGAAUGUUCUUUUCUCCUUUGGGAGAGUAGAUGGAGAGAAUGCAGUCUGA
This 127-nucleotide small nucleolar RNA is filed under the name Nannospalax galili (Upper Galilee mountains blind mole rat). Its description in RNAcentral is "Small nucleolar RNA U3 (ENSNGAG00000006502.1)". It matches the Rfam family "Small nucleolar RNA U3", at positions 84 to 214 of the family's 219-position model. Rfam says of the family: Small nucleolar RNAs (snoRNAs) are involved in the processing and modification of rRNA in the nucleolus. There are two main classes of snoRNAs: the box C/D class, and the box H/ACA class. The record is from RNAcentral. Lineage: Eukaryota; Metazoa; Chordata; Mammalia; Rodentia; Spalacidae.